RNAcentral lists this ribosomal RNA (254 nucleotides) under uncultured bacterium. Its description in RNAcentral is "partial 16S ribosomal RNA". It matches the Rfam family "Bacterial small subunit ribosomal RNA", at positions 524 to 776 of the family's 1533-position model. The record is from RNAcentral.
GACGAACCGUGCGAACGUUAUUCGGAAUCACUGGGCUUAAAGCGCGUGUAGGCGGGAGGGCACGUCCGUUGCUGAAAUCCCCCGGCUCAACCGGGGAACGGGCGCGGAUACGACUCUCCUUGAGGGGCGUAGGGGGACCUGGAACUUCCGGUGGAGCGGUGAAAUGCGUUGAGAUCGGAAGGAACGCCCGUGGCGAAAGCGAGGUCCUGGACGCCUACUGACGCUGAGACGCGAAAGCCAGGGGAGCGAACAGG